AAAAGAGCUAAGGGGUGUACGCCUAUUUGGGCGUGCUGAGAUUAUACCCUCGGAACCUGCACCAGGUCAUGCUGGCGAAGGAAAAGCUCAUAAAAUAAUC
RNAcentral lists this non-coding RNA (100 nucleotides) under Prevotella sp. RNAcentral describes it as "TPP sequence". It matches the Rfam family "TPP riboswitch aptamer (THI element)". From Rfam's summary of the family: Vitamin B(1) in its active form thiamin pyrophosphate (TPP) is an essential coenzyme that is synthesised by coupling of pyrimidine and thiazole moieties in bacteria. The previously detected thiamin-regulatory element, thi box was extended, resulting in a new, highly conserved RNA secondary structure, the THI element, which is widely distributed in eubacteria and also occurs in some archaea. Lineage: Bacteria; Pseudomonadati; Bacteroidota; Bacteroidia; Bacteroidales; Prevotellaceae. RNAcentral also lists the same sequence under 1 other name. The record is from RNAcentral.